AAGCCGUGGUGUGGGCAUUGGUUAGUGUAGCUUCUAAACCGUUCCCAAGCUUCACUAAAGCUCACGUUAUUGUGCUGCGUGAAACUUGAGAUCUGAUUCCUGAGCUU
This is a small nucleolar RNA of Eutrema salsugineum, 107 nucleotides long. It matches the Rfam family "Plant small nucleolar RNA R71". Rfam says of the family: R71 is a member of the C/D box family of snoRNAs containing the C (UGAUGA) and D (CUGA) box motifs. Multiple nearly identical copies of this snoRNA have been identified in Arabidopsis, and it is thought to function as a 2'-O-ribose methylation guide for 18S ribosomal RNA. The record is from Rfam. Lineage: Eukaryota; Viridiplantae; Streptophyta; Magnoliopsida; Brassicales; Brassicaceae.